CACUCAGGAGGGGACUCCCAGACUGACUGCUUUACUUUCAUGGCCACAGACAGCACAAACCAAGGCUUUAUUGUGAAUGGGAGAGUGUGGGAAAAACCUGUUUUAUUCACCAUUCAGGUAGACCAAUUGGACAAAACAGCUCCUCGUAUCACACUCUUGCAUUCCCCUUCUCAAGUGGGGCUCCUGAAAAAUGGCUGCUACGGGCUUUAUAUCACUUCCCGCGUGUUGAAGGCAUCAGACCCUGACACUGAGGAUGAUCAGAUCAUCUUUAAAAUUCUACAAGGCCCAAAACAUGGACAUCUGGAGAACACAACAACAGGUGAAUUUAUCCAUGAGAAAUUUAGCCAAAAGGACUUGAACAGUAAGACUAUUCUUUACAUCAUAAACCCAUCCUUGGAAGUAAAUUCAGAUACCAUGGAAUUUCAAAUCAUGGACCCCACAGGGAACUCGGCCACUCCUCAAAUUUUGGAACUGAAGUGGUCUCAUAUUGAAUGGUCACAGACCGAAUAUGAAGUCUGUGAGAAUGUGGGUGUGUUGCCCUUGGAAAUUAUCAGAAGGGGAUAUUCCAUGGACUCGGCCUUUGUGGGUAUAAAGGUCAACCAAGUGUCAGCUACAGUUGGAAAAGAUUUCACCGUGACUCCAUCUAAACUGAUUCAGUUUGACCCAGCCAGCCAAAAGUAGAAGAAGUGGAUAGCUUCACCUUUCCAUUGACUUCUGUUGAGGAUUGAAGAGACUGAUUAGAUCAUGAGAUCUAUGUGAGGCAUACCUUCAAGAAAGAGGCCACCAUAUAGAUAGACAGUUGAGAGGUAUAAGUC
Molecule: small RNA, 815 nt
Filed under: Pongo abelii (Sumatran orangutan)
Lineage: Eukaryota; Metazoa; Chordata; Mammalia; Primates; Hominidae
Description: processed transcript
Source: RNAcentral